This 58-nucleotide transfer RNA is filed under the name Bemisia tabaci. RNAcentral describes it as "tRNA-Ser". Lineage: Eukaryota; Metazoa; Arthropoda; Insecta; Hemiptera; Aleyrodidae. The record is from RNAcentral.
AAAAUCAAUUUUUAGUAUUUUGAAAAUACUAGGUAGGCUACGUAAGUCUUUGAUUUUA